Long non-coding RNA from Arachis duranensis, 469 nucleotides. RefSeq lists it as uncharacterized. Lineage: Eukaryota; Viridiplantae; Streptophyta; Magnoliopsida; Fabales; Fabaceae. The record is from RefSeq and is a predicted model, not a curated record. The transcript has 2 exons.
CUUUGUUUGGCAUUCCUUUAUCACCUAAACCUUCUUUCCUAUCCACCUCACUCAUUACAGUAGUGCUUUUCUUAAGGACAUGGGAACUGGGAAGGGGAUGGAUCAAUCUCAUGAUGACGAUGAUGAGCUUCUGAAGACAGUUCAUUCUACAGUUUUGCAGGGGAAAACGGACGGCAUAAAAAUGUGCUAACUGCUAAGUUGCCUUUUACUUUUGUUAUUUUGUAAAAUUUCUCUUAUAUAUGUAGCAUGUUUAUAUUUUGCAUAUAAAAAUCACAGGGACCUAGUUUCAUCGUUUUUGGUUACAUGGACCUAGCUAGUUCCAUUCUAUUGCAUCAGAAUAGAGACAUUAUUAUUGAUGCUGCUUAAGUUUACAUUCAGUAUUUUUAUUUUAUCUAUGUUGCAUAGAUACACGGGUACUAUAACUUGAUCCAUAUGAAAAUAGGUAUGUGAUACAAUUUUUUUGGAAAAA